Molecule: non-coding RNA, 87 nt
Organism: Sturnus vulgaris (Common starling)
Lineage: Eukaryota; Metazoa; Chordata; Aves; Passeriformes; Sturnidae
Source: RefSeq, a predicted model, not a curated record
ACAGCCUGUGCUGGGUUGGUGCUGAGCAAUAGGAAAAUGAGGCAACAGGCAGGAACUGAUGCACAGGAAUUUCCACCUGAAUCUGAG